GGCCCACAACAAAUGCUGUCUGCACUGCAGAUGCAACUAAGGAGUUAGUACUGUGUUAUAUCUGUAUUUACUUGAAGGCCCAGUUGCCAACGGCAGUUAAAGAGCUGUGAGAACACUUUAA
This 121-nucleotide long non-coding RNA is filed under the name Fukomys damarensis (Damara mole-rat). Its description in RNAcentral is "lncRNA (ENSFDAG00000028313.1)". The record is from RNAcentral. Lineage: Eukaryota; Metazoa; Chordata; Mammalia; Rodentia; Bathyergidae.